This 465-nucleotide ribosomal RNA is filed under the name Vreelandella stevensii. RNAcentral's name for it is "partial 16S ribosomal RNA". It matches the Rfam family "Bacterial small subunit ribosomal RNA", at positions 338 to 795 of the family's 1533-position model. Lineage: Bacteria; Pseudomonadati; Pseudomonadota; Gammaproteobacteria; Oceanospirillales; Halomonadaceae. The record is from RNAcentral.
CCUACGGGGGGCUGCAGUGGGGAAUAUUGGACAAUGGGGGGAACCCUGAUCCAGCCAUGCCGCGUGUGUGAAGAAGGCCCUCGGGUUGUAAAGCACUUUCAGUGAGGAAGAACGCCUGGUGGUUAAUACCCAUCAGGAAAGACAUCACUCACAGAAGAAGCACCGGCUAACUCCGUGCCAGCAGCCGCGGUAAUACGGAGGGUGCGAGCGUUAAUCGGAAUUACUGGGCGUAAAGCGCGCGUAGGUGGCUUGAUAAGCCGGUUGUGAAAGCCCCGGGCUCAACCUGGGAACGGCAUCCGGAACUGUCAAGCUAGAGUGCAGGAGAGGAAGGUAGAAUUCCCGGUGUAGCGGUGAAAUGCGUAGAGAUCGGGAGGAAUACCAGUGGCGCAGGCGGCCUUCUGGACUGACACUGACACUGAGGUGCGAAAGCGUGGGUAGCAAACAGGAUUAGAUACCCUAGUAGUC